Molecule: non-coding RNA, 105 nt
Organism: Acanthosepion pharaonis
Lineage: Eukaryota; Metazoa; Mollusca; Cephalopoda; Sepiida; Sepiidae
Source: the annotation of a GenBank genome assembly
GCCCAUAUCACGUUGAAAAAUCGGGUCCCGUACGAUCACCGAAGUUAAACUACGUCGAGCCUGGUCAUUACCUAGACGGGUAACCACUUGGGAAUACCAGGUACU